GCCCGCCGCUGCAGGUGGCAGCAGUGACUGCGCUUGUGGGGUGAGGCGGCCCUGGCCGGGGAGGAUGGCUGGAGCUGCUUGGCAAAGACUUGCGCUCUUCCUGCCCUGAACCUGCACAGCAUCACAGCUAAGGGACCUCGGCUCGAAGGACCACCCAGGCUGUGCCUGGGGCCCAGUGCUGGAAAUCCCGGGAGUGGACACAUGCAGUAUGUGUCCGGCGUCCCCAGAACGACACGGAGAUGGACUGGCUUGCGGGGGACCCCACGUCCUCUUCCCCAACACGAGGAGCCUCGGGAUCCAUUUUCACUGCUGCAGGCACAGGGGCCUCCUCAGCUCCUCCUCGUCUGCUGUUCCUGUUUCGUCCUCUUCCUGCCUCGUGCUUCGUUGAUGUUCUGCAAAUUAUUUAGAUGUGUAAAUGAAAUAAAUGGAAAAUAACUCUCA
Homo sapiens (human) is the source of this 441-nucleotide long non-coding RNA. RefSeq lists it as uncharacterized. The transcript is spliced from 3 exons. The record is from RefSeq and is a predicted model, not a curated record. Lineage: Eukaryota; Metazoa; Chordata; Mammalia; Primates; Hominidae.